GACGAACGCUGGCGGCGUGCCUAAUACAUGCAAGUCGAGCGAAGUUUUUCUGGUGCUUGCACUAGAAAAACUUAGCGGCGAACGGGUGAGUAACACGUAAAGAACCUGCCUCAUAGACUGGGACAACUAUUGGAAACGAUAGCUAAUACCGGAUAACAGUAUUUCUCGCAUGAGAGAUAUUUAAAAGUUGGUUAUGCUAACACUAUGAGAUGGCUUUGCGGUUCAUUAGCUAGUUGGUGGGGUAAAGGCCCACCAAGGCGACGAUGCAUAGCCGACCUGAGAGGGUGAUCGGCCACACUGGGACUGAGACACGGCCCAGACUCCUACGGGAGGCAGCAGUAGGGAAUCUUCCGCAAUGGGCGAAAGCCUGACGGAGCAACGCCGCGUGGGUGAAGAAGGAUUUCGGUUCGUAAAGCUCUGUUGUUAGGGAAGAAUGGAUAUGUAGUAACUAUACAUGUAAGAGACGGUACCUAACCAGAAAGCCACGGCUAACUACGU
This 498-nucleotide ribosomal RNA is filed under the name uncultured bacterium. RNAcentral's name for it is "partial 16S ribosomal RNA". It matches the Rfam family "Bacterial small subunit ribosomal RNA", at positions 28 to 506 of the family's 1533-position model. The record is from RNAcentral.